UGCAUAUCAAUAAGCGGAGGAAAAGAAACCAACCGGGAUUGCCUUAGUAACGGCGAGUGAAGCGGCAAAAGCUCAAAUUUGAAAUCUGGUACCUUCGGUGCCCGAGUUGUAAUUUGGAGAGGGCAACUUUGGGGCCGUUCCUUGUCUAUGUUCCUUGGAACAGGACGUCAUAGAGGGUGAGAAUCCCGUGUGGCGAGGAGUGCGGUUCUUUGUAAAGUGCCUUCGAAGAGUCGAGUUGUUUGGGAAUGCAGCUCUAAGUGGGUGGUAAAUUCCAUCUAAAGCUAAAUAUUGGCGAGAGACCGAUAGCGAACAAGUACAGUGAUGGAAAGAUGAAAAGAACUUUGAAAAGAGAGUGAAAAAGUACGUGAAAUUGUUGAAAGGGAAGGGCAUUUGAUCAGACAUGGUGUUUUGUGCCCUCUGCUCCUUGUGGGUAGGGGAAUCUCGCAUUUCACUGGGCCAGCAUCAGUUUUGGUGGCAGGAUAAAUCCAUAGGAAUGUAGCUUGCCUCGGUAAGUAUUAUAGCCUGUGGGAAUACUGCCAGCUGGGACUGAGGACUGCGACGUAAGUCAAGGAUGCUGC
Molecule: ribosomal RNA, 578 nt
Filed under: Saccharomyces cerevisiae (brewer's yeast)
Lineage: Eukaryota; Fungi; Ascomycota; Saccharomycetes; Saccharomycetales; Saccharomycetaceae
Description: partial large subunit ribosomal RNA
Rfam family: Eukaryotic large subunit ribosomal RNA
Source: RNAcentral